This is a non-coding RNA of Heterocephalus glaber (naked mole-rat), 526 nucleotides long. The record is from RefSeq and is a predicted model, not a curated record. NCBI's taxonomy places the organism in Eukaryota, Metazoa, Chordata, Mammalia, Rodentia, Bathyergidae.
UGCAGAACUUGGAUUCUGGCCGAAGUCUAUACAUUGCAGAAGCCUCUGGUCUGAGCUCAUGGGACAAAGAAGCAGAAGCUUUCACUGUUACUGGAGGAGAAAACUAUGAAUUUGGAAGCGAGACAUAAUAAAUCGAGAGCUGGUAAAAACUCUGCUGUCAACCAUCAGCAGCAUUGUUUGAGUCUUGGUAUCGGGUAUUUUGUCCUAGAGAGGGACUAAAUGGAAUCUGAUAAUUGUGGUUGACAUGGAAGGCUAUGAGAAGUUGAAGUUAAUAACCCAAAUCUCUUGCACUGGCAUGCCAUAGGGGAACAUACUAGAGAAGCUGAGAAUUUGUUCCAUGGCCAGCUUUGUCCGUUUAAUACACAACAGCCUGACCAUAAUAAAGAAGGACCCUAAAGUGGUGGUGACCAACCUGUGCUUUGGGAUAAUCCCUGUGAGGCUGUUCCAGCCCCAGGGAGUGUCCUGCAGCCCCCGGAGAGGCAUCGUCUUCUACCAUGGAGGGGGCGGGAUGUUCGGCAGCCUGGGU